RNAcentral lists this small RNA (283 nucleotides) under Mandrillus leucophaeus (drill). RNAcentral's name for it is "Metazoan signal recognition particle RNA (ENSMLEG00000000887.1)". Lineage: Eukaryota; Metazoa; Chordata; Mammalia; Primates; Cercopithecidae. The record is from RNAcentral.
GCCGGGCAGGGUGGCUCAUGCCUGUAAUCCCAGCACUUUGGGAGGCUGAGGCAAGCAGAUCACUUGAGUCCAGGAGUUCGAGACCAGCCUGGCAAACAUGGCGAAACGCCGUCUCUACUAAAAAUACAAAAAUUAGCUGGGCAUAGUGGCGGGCACCUGUAAUCCCAGCUACUUGGGAGGCUGAGGCCAGAAGAAUUGCUUGAACCCAGGUGGCAGAGGUUGCAGUGAGCCAAGCUUGCGCCACUGUAUUCCAGCCUGGGCAACAGAGUGAAUCUUUGUCUCA